RNAcentral lists this ribosomal RNA (251 nucleotides) under uncultured bacterium. Its description in RNAcentral is "partial 16S ribosomal RNA". It matches the Rfam family "Bacterial small subunit ribosomal RNA", at positions 103 to 353 of the family's 1533-position model. The record is from RNAcentral.
CGGGUGAGUAACGCGUGGGUAACCUGCCUUAUACAGGGGGAUAACAGUCAGAAAUGGCUGCUAAUACCGCAUAAGCGCACAGAGCUGCAUGGCUCAGUGUGAAAAACUCCGGUGGUAUAAGAUGGACCCGCGUUGGAUUAGCUAGUUGGUGGGGUAACGGCCCACCAAGGCGACGAUCCAUAGCCGGCCUGAGAGGGUGAACGGUCACAUUGGGACUGAGACACGGCCAGACUCCUACGGGAGGCAGCAUG